Long non-coding RNA from Drosophila hydei, 335 nucleotides. RefSeq lists it as uncharacterized. NCBI's taxonomy places the organism in Eukaryota, Metazoa, Arthropoda, Insecta, Diptera, Drosophilidae. The transcript has 2 exons. The record is from RefSeq and is a predicted model, not a curated record.
AAAAAAAAACUGGGUAUAUUUUGUCAUUUACCUGCAGCGGUCACACUGCAUGGUCUCUGGCAUAGCUAUAUUUUAAACGCUUUAGUCUGCUUUUUGUAAACCGAAUGUGCAAAAUGAAACGCGCUUGAGUGUGCACGCGACAGUUAAGCGAGCAAAAAAGGACACUCCAACAAAAAGUGCUGACCAAGUAUAUACGUACACAUACGACUACAUAUAUACACACACAGAUAAUCAAAAUUUGAUUUUUUUAACAAUUGCAUUUGUAAUUGCCGUAAAAAUGUAAAUGUCACAUCCAAAGAGACGUAAGGAAAUUGUUUGUAAAAGAAAAAAAAAAA